This 550-nucleotide ribosomal RNA is filed under the name uncultured Bacteroidota bacterium. Its description in RNAcentral is "bacterial SSU rRNA". It matches the Rfam family "Bacterial small subunit ribosomal RNA", at positions 71 to 617 of the family's 1533-position model. Lineage: Bacteria; Pseudomonadati; Bacteroidota. The record is from RNAcentral.
AGAUCUAGCUUGCUAGAUGCUGACGAGUGGCGCACGGGUGAGUAACGCGUAUACAAUCUACCUUUAACUGAGGGAUAGCCCAGAGAAAUUUGGAUUAAUACCUCAUAGUAUUAUGGAGAGGCAUCUUUUUAUAAUUAAAACUCCGGUGGUUAAAGAUGAGUAUGCGUCCUAUUAGCUUGUUGGUAAGGUAAAAGCUUACCAAGGCUACGAUAGGUAGGGGGCCUGAAAGGGUGAUCCCCCACACUGGUACUGAGACACGGACCAGACUCCUACGGGAGGCAGCAGUGAGGAAUAUUGCACAAUGGAGGAAACUCUGAUGCAGCCAUGCCGCGUGCAGGAUGAAUGCCCUAUGGGUUGUAAACUGCUUUUAUACAAGAAGAAACCUCGGUACGUGUACCGACUUGACGGUAUUGUAUGAAUAAGCACCGGCUAACUCCGUGCCAGCAGCCGCGGUAAUACGGAGGGUGCAAGCGUUAUCCGGAUUUAUUAGGUUUAAAGGGUCCGCAGGCGGAAUAUUAAGUCAGUGGUGAAAGCCUACAGCUCAACUGUA